CAGGCAAGAGCUCAGAUUUGAAAGCCUUUUUGGCAUUGUAUUCUGAAGUCAGUUUCCUGAGUAUCGGUGUUUAAGUCUUCUGGGAAAGGAGCGCCAUGGAGGGUGAUAGCCCCGUACGACACCUCACUCAUUGUAGGAUUCUGACGUGGGAGUCGAGUUGUUUGGGAAUGCAGCUCAAAAGGGUGGUAUGCUCCAUCUAAAGCUAAAUAUCUGUGAGAGACCGAUAGCGAACAAGUACUGUGAAGGAAAGAUGAAAAGAACUUUGAAAAGAGAGUGAAAAAGUACGUGAAAUUGUUGAAAUGGAAGGAUAUGCCGCUAACAAUGUAGAGCCGUGUUUGGGGGGAAGACAAAAGCUGAA
Molecule: ribosomal RNA, 358 nt
Filed under: uncultured Saccharomycetaceae
Lineage: Eukaryota; Fungi; Ascomycota; Saccharomycetes; Saccharomycetales; Saccharomycetaceae
Description: eukaryotic LSU rRNA
Rfam family: Eukaryotic large subunit ribosomal RNA
Source: RNAcentral